AGAAAAGCAGAAGUGAGAACUUCUCGCCUUGCGACCUAGGUUGUCUGGCCCAACAUGUCAAAUCCAAUUAUAGGAUAUAAUGUGUGCGGGCUUGUUUAUCAAGUCCGCUUUGUUUUUCU
This 119-nucleotide small RNA is filed under the name uncultured Streptococcus sp. RNAcentral's name for it is "Ribosomal protein L20 leader". It matches the Rfam family "Ribosomal protein L20 leader". From Rfam's summary of the family: This family is a putative r-protein leader autoregulatory structure found in B. subtilis and other low-GC Gram-positive bacteria. It is located in the 5' untranslated regions of mRNAs encoding initiation factor 3 followed by ribosomal proteins L35 and L20 (infC-rpmI-rplT). Lineage: Bacteria; Bacillati; Bacillota; Bacilli; Lactobacillales; Streptococcaceae. The record is from RNAcentral.